Molecule: ribosomal RNA, 550 nt
Filed under: uncultured fungus
Lineage: Eukaryota; Fungi
Description: eukaryotic LSU rRNA
Rfam family: 5.8S ribosomal RNA (bases 186-339)
Source: RNAcentral
AAGUCGUAACAGGGUCUCCGUUGGUGAACCAGCGGAGGGAUCAUUACUGAGUACUACACUCUCUACCCUUUGUGAACUAUUAUACCUGUUGCUUCGGCGGCGCCCGCAAGGGUGCCCGCCGGUCUCAUCAGAAUCUCUGUUUUCGAACCCGACGAUACUUCUGAGUGUUCUUAGCGAACUGUCAAAACUUUUAACAACGGAUCUCUUGGCUCCAGCAUCGAUGAAGAACGCAGCGAAACGCGAUAUGUAAUGUGAAUUGCAGAAUUCAGUGAAUCAUCGAAUCUUUGAACGCACAUGGCGCCUUCCAGUAUCCUGGGAGGCAUGCCUGUCCGAGCGUCGUUUCAACCCUCGAGCCCCUGUGGCCCGGCGUUGGGGAUCUGCCACGGCAGGCCCCUAAAACCAGUGGCGGACCCGAAGGGCCCUCUCCUUUGCGCAGUAGCAUUCGCCUCGCAUCGGGAGUCCUCGGCGUCCUGCCUCUAAACCCCCACAAGCCCGCUUCGGCGGCACCAAGGUUGACCUCGGAUCAGGUAGGAAUACCCGCUGAACUUAA